AUAGCGGCCGGAACAGGAGCAGGCGGUGGUGUCGGGGAAGCUCGGUGUGGCCCGCGCAGCUGCGGUUGAUGGGGGCUCUGGGAAAUUAAAACUUUCCAGCUCUCCCCAAGCUGCUUCCUUACAGAUGGUCUGGGAGCCGGGGUUUGUGUGUGUGUGUUGUAUAUGGGGGUGGCUCUGGCCAAGCAGAAAACUGCUCCUAAGACCAUCGACGCUCUCAUUCCUUUUCCUGGAGCACAAACCAAAUUAAGAUAAGAAUAUUAAUUGGUCUUUUUUAUGUUUGCGGAGGGAUUACCAUACAACGCCGUAAAACACCGCAUACAUCUCAUUUUACUCCGUGGCUCCCGGUCGGUGAGGGCUGCCCAGACCGGUCAGUGCCGCAGAGGUGGGGGGUCUCAGCACCUGGAUCCGGGCUGACUGGGAGCCUCAAUCCCAGCUUUUAACGUUUGCAGAUCACACAGUCCGGGAACCUCAGGGUAAGCCGCUGGCCACCGGGAGCCAGACCAUGUGGAGAUGCCCCUGGGAGCAGCCGUCAACCUCGGGGUGGAGGGAUGUCUGAGCUGCUGUCCUGUGUCCCGGCCCAGGUGUGUGCCUGCUCAGGUGUGUGCCGACCAGGUGUGUCCUGGCCCAGGUGUGUCCUGGCCCAAGUGUGUGCCGCCCAGGUGUGUCCUGGCCCAGGUGUGUCCUGGCCCAAGUGUGUGCCGCCCAGGUGUGUCCUGGCCCAGGUGUGUCCUGGCCCAGGUGUGUG
Long non-coding RNA from Myotis daubentonii (Daubenton's bat), 745 nucleotides. RefSeq lists it as uncharacterized. Lineage: Eukaryota; Metazoa; Chordata; Mammalia; Chiroptera; Vespertilionidae. The record is from RefSeq and is a predicted model, not a curated record. The transcript is spliced from 3 exons.